This 491-nucleotide ribosomal RNA is filed under the name uncultured bacterium. RNAcentral describes it as "partial 16S ribosomal RNA". It matches the Rfam family "Bacterial small subunit ribosomal RNA", at positions 27 to 507 of the family's 1533-position model. The record is from RNAcentral.
GAUUGAACGCUGGCGGCAGGCCUAACACAUGCAAGUCGAACGGUAACAGGAAGAAGCUUGCUUCUUUGCUGACGAGUGGCGGACGGGUGAGUAAUGUCUGGGAAACUGCCUGAUGGAGGGGGAUAACUACUGGAAACGGUAGCUAAUACCGCAUAACGUCGCAAGACCAAAGAGGGGGACCUUCGGGCCUCUUGCCAUCGGAUGUGCCCAGAUGGGAUUAGCUAGUAGGUGGGGUAACGGCUCACCUAGGCGACGAUCCCUAGCUGGUCUGAGAGGAUGACCAGCCACACUGGAACUGAGACACGGUCCAGACUCCUAUGGGAGGCAGCAGUGGGGAAUAUUGCACAAUGGGCGCAAGCCUGAUGCAGCCAUGCCGCGUGUAUGAAGAAGGCCUUCGGGUUGUAAAGUACUUUCAGCGGGGAGGAAGGGAGUAAAGUUAAUACCUUUGCUCAUUGACGUUACCCGCAGAAGAAGCACCGGCUAACUCCGUG